Long non-coding RNA from Galleria mellonella (greater wax moth), 401 nucleotides. RefSeq lists it as uncharacterized. NCBI's taxonomy places the organism in Eukaryota, Metazoa, Arthropoda, Insecta, Lepidoptera, Pyralidae. The transcript is spliced from 2 exons. The record is from RefSeq and is a predicted model, not a curated record.
AUUUAAUACUAAUAUAUAUCUGUCUGUCUGCAUGCUGUUCGAGCAUCACAUGAAAACUACUACACCAAAUUGGAUGUAGUUUUCACAGUGGUGUUAGUGAAUGUGUAACUUAAAAUCUGAGGCUGCCAGCUGUCGACAACUCGAAGGCAGCAUGGCUGGCGGCCGAGAGAUACGAAGUGGUGAUGUCCGUGCGCUCCAUUCUAACGAAGAAGCUAGCCUGGCGCCCAGGAAAGACUCUCCAGUUAUAACUGAACAUGCAAUGUUGCCAGCUAUAUCUAUAACUUGAAUGUAUUGAGCCUCUGGACCCACCUGCCAAAAAAGAAGAAAUAUUUUAAUACUGCCAUGAAUACAAUUGUUUAGAUGUCAUGUAUUCUUAAAUAAAUAAAUAAAUAAAAAGUUAA